This 57-nucleotide transfer RNA is filed under the name Tityus serrulatus (Brazilian scorpion). Its description in RNAcentral is "tRNA-Met". The record is from RNAcentral. Lineage: Eukaryota; Metazoa; Arthropoda; Arachnida; Scorpiones; Buthidae.
UAGAGAUAAGCUAAAUAAGCUGUUGGGUUCAUACCUCAAAAAUGUUUUUCUCUCUAA